RNAcentral lists this transfer RNA (76 nucleotides) under bacterium. Its description in RNAcentral is "tRNA-His". It matches the Rfam family "tRNA". Rfam says of the family: Transfer RNA (tRNA) molecules are approximately 80 nucleotides in length. Their secondary structure includes four short double-helical elements and three loops (D, anti-codon, and T loops). The record is from RNAcentral.
GUGAGUGUAGCUCAGUCGGUAGAGCACAGGAUUGUGGCUCCUGCGGCCGUGGGUUCGAUCCCCAUCAUUCACCCCA